GAUGAACGCUGGCGGCGUGCUUAACACAUGCAAGUCGAACGAAGCACCUUGAUUUGAUUCUUCGGAUGAAGAUCUUGGUGACUGAGUGGCGGACGGGUGAGUAACGCGUGGGUAACCUGCCUCAUACAGGGGGAUAGCAGUUAGAAAUGACUGCUAAUACCGCAUAAGACCACAGCACCGCAUGGUGCAGGGGUAAAAACUCCGGUGGUAUGAGAUGGACCCGCGUCUGAUUAGGUAGUUGGUGGGGUAACGGCCUACCAAGCCGACGAUCAGUAGCCGACCUGAGAGGGUGACCGGCCACAUUGGGACUGAGACACGGCCCAAACUCCUACGGGAGGCAGCAGUGGGGAAUAUUGCACAAUGGGGGAAACCCUGAUGCAGCGACGCCGCGUGAGCGAUGAAGUAUUUCGGUAUGUAAAGCUCUAUCAGCAGGGAAGAAAAUGACGGUACCUGACUAAGAAGCACCGGCUAAAUACGUG
This 479-nucleotide ribosomal RNA is filed under the name uncultured bacterium. RNAcentral describes it as "partial 16S ribosomal RNA". It matches the Rfam family "Bacterial small subunit ribosomal RNA", at positions 28 to 507 of the family's 1533-position model. The record is from RNAcentral.